GCGGAGGAAAAGAAACUAACAAGGAUUCCCCUAGUAGUGGCGAGCGAACGGGGAAAAGCCCAGCACUGAAUCCCGUGCCCGAUAUCGGACACAGGGAAAUGUAGUGUUUAAGAGAAUUCUUAUCCUAGAAAUAUACGUAUAUCUAAGUCCAUCUAAAAUGCGGCUAUAACCCAUAGAGGGUGACAGGCCCGUAGGAUUUAUACAUGUUUUUAGGUUGAAUUUCUCUUUAGAGUCGAGUUGCUUUAUAAUGCAGCUCUAAGUGGGUGGUAAACUCCAUCUAAGGCUAAAUAUAACCACGAGACCGAUAGAAAACAAGUACCGUGAGGGAAAGUUGAAAAGAACUUUGAAGAGAGAGUUCAAUAGUACGUGAAACCGUUCAGGGGUAAACCAGAGACCCCGAAAGAUUCGAAAGAGGUUAAUCAAUACUCCUCUUCCACACACACUUUUGGAGAGAGUAUGUAUUUAUCCUUUAGUAGGACGCUGCAACCCGUUAGAGACAUUAGAGCCCAUUGGCAAACGCCUAUGUUAUAUCCUAGAUAUAAUAAUAAUAGGUCCAUUGGUGUCCCUAAAAGCCUGUCUUCUGACGGAAUAUAUAUAUUUGUUAGCAGUGAUUUAGUUUUGGGUACUCUCUGGACCCGUCUUGAAACACGGACCAAGGAGUCUAGCAUGUGUGCAAGUCAUAGGGUUUUUAAAACCUAAAGGCGAAAUGAAAGUAAAGAGACUUAUAUAUAAGUUGAGGGAAGAUGUGUUAAUCUAUCAUAUUAACACCGCACUCCCGGGAUGUCUCAAAUUAUAUUAGAGACAUACCUAGAGCAUACACGCUGCGACCCGAAAGAUGGUGAACUAUGCCUGGUCAGGUUGAAGUCAGGGGAAACCCUGAUGGAGGACCGUAACGAUUCUGACGUGCAAAUCGAUCGUUCGAACUGGGUAUAGGGGCGAAAGACUAAUCGAACCAUCUAGUAGCUGGUUCCCUCCGAAGUUUCCCUCAGGAUAGCUGGCAUUUUUAUAAUGAAUUUCAUCUGGUAAAGCGAAUGAUUUGAGGCAUUGGGGCCGAAACGUCCUCAACCUAUUCUCAAACUUUAAAUGGGUGAGAUAAAUGGCUUGCUUUAGUGAAGCCAUUGAAUAUUGAGAUGAGAUGAGAUGAGAUAAUAUGAUAUUAGAAGUUGAAAUAGACGGGUGAAGGAGAGAUAUAUAAAAUAUAUCAAAAUAUGAGAUGAGAUAAUUUAAAACCGAAGAGAGGAGAUUGAUGAGAUGAGAUAUGGGAGAAACAGAUAUAUAAAAUAUAUCAAAAUAUGAGAUGAGAUAAUUUAAAAGUAAGAAGGAGGAAAUGUAAGGUGAAAUGAAAUGAGAUGAGAUGAGAUAAUUUAAAAGAAGGAGAGAUGGAAUCAAAGUGCCUAGUGGGCCACUUUUGGUAAGCAGAACUGGCGCUGUGGGAUGAACCAAACGCCGAGUUAAGGCGCCCAAACAACGCUUAUGGGAUACCAUGAAAGGUGUCGGUUGCUUAAGACAGCAGGACGGUGACCAUGGAAGUCGGAAUCCGCUAAGGAAUGUGUAAUAACUCACCUGCCGAAGCAACAGGCCCUGAAAAUGGAUGGCGCUAAAGUGUUGUGCCUAUACUCGGCCGUCAGGAUAGUAAUGGUUAUAUGUAAAAAUAUAAUUAUGUAAUAUCUUGACGAGUAGGAGGGUCGCGAUGAUGUGCAUAGAAGGGUCUGGUCGUAAGACUGCCUGGAGCCAUCAUCGGUGCAGAUCUUGGUGGUAGUAGCAAAUACUCUAGCGAGGCCCUGGAGGACUGAUGUGGAGAAGGGUUUCGUGUGAACAGUGGUUGUACACGAGUCAGUCGAUCCUAAGCCCUAGGUGAAAACCUAUGUUGAUGUGGUGUAUUAUUUAUUUAUAAAUGUACACACGUCGGGCGAAAGGGAAUCUGGUUAAUAUUCCAGAACCCGGUAGCGGAACCGUAUAAGUCGGGCCCUCUGAGAGAGCUCGUCGGGGUAACCCAACAUGCCCUGGAGACGCCGUCGGGAAGUCCAGAAAGAGUUUUCUUUUCUGUAUGAGCGUUCGAGUUCCCUGGAAUCCUCUAGCAGGGAGAAAGGGUUUGGAACGCGAAGAGCACCGCAGAACACGGCGGUGUCUGGAUAUUCCCCUCGGACCUUGAAAAUCCAGGUGAGGGCCACGUGGAGGUGUCGCACCGGUUCGUACCCAUAUCCGCAGCAGGUCUCCAAGGUGAAGAGCCUCUAGUC
This 2237-nucleotide ribosomal RNA is filed under the name Bittacus pilicornis. RNAcentral's name for it is "eukaryotic LSU rRNA". It matches the Rfam family "Eukaryotic large subunit ribosomal RNA", at positions 50 to 1888 of the family's 3401-position model. Lineage: Eukaryota; Metazoa; Arthropoda; Insecta; Mecoptera; Bittacidae. The record is from RNAcentral.